Molecule: ribosomal RNA, 292 nt
Filed under: uncultured bacterium
Lineage: Bacteria
Description: partial 16S ribosomal RNA
Rfam family: Bacterial small subunit ribosomal RNA
Source: RNAcentral
GUGUCAGCAGCCGCGGUAAUACGUAGGUGGCAAGCGUUAUCCGGAAUUACUGGGCGUAAAGCGUCCGCAGGUGGUUGUCUAAGACUGACGUGAAAGCGCCUGGCUUAACUGGGCGAGGUCGUGGGUGACUGGACGACUGGAGGCAAGAAGAGGGGUGCAGAAUUCCCGGUGUAGUGGUGGAAUGCGUAGAGAUCGGGAGGAAUACCAGAGGCGCAAGCGGCACCCUGGUCUUGGCCUGACGCUGAGGGACGAAAGCGUGGGGAGCGAACGGGAUUAGAAACCCGGGUAGUCC